RNAcentral lists this ribosomal RNA (253 nucleotides) under uncultured bacterium. RNAcentral describes it as "partial 16S ribosomal RNA". It matches the Rfam family "Bacterial small subunit ribosomal RNA", at positions 524 to 776 of the family's 1533-position model. The record is from RNAcentral.
UACGUAGGGGGCUAGCGUUGUCCGGAAUCAUUGGGCGUAAAGAGCGUGUAGGCGGCCAGAUAAGUCCGCUGUGAAAUCUCGAGGCUCAACUUCGAGCUGUCGGUGGAAACUGUCUGGCUAGAGUCCGGAAGAGGAGAAUGGAAUUCCUGGUGUAGCGGUGAAAUGCGCAGAUAUCAGGAAGAACACCAAUGGCGAAGGCAGCUCUCUGGGACGGUACUGACGCUGAGACGCGAAAGCGUGGGGAGCGAACAGG